UGACUGCGUACCUUUUGUAUAAUGGGUCAGCGACUUAUAUUCUGUAGCAAGGUUAACCGAAUAGGGGAGCCGGAGGGAAACCGAGUCUUAAUUGGGCGUUAAGUUGCAGGGUAUAGACCCGAAACCCGGUGAUCUAGCCAUGGGCAGGUUGAAGGUUGGGUAACACUAACUGGAGGACCGAACCGACUAAUGUUGAAAAAUUAGCGGAUGACCUGUGGCUGGGGGUGAAAGGCCAAUCAAACCGGGAGAUAGCUGGUUCUCCCCGAAAGCUAUUUAGGUAGCGCCUCGUGAAUUCAUCUCCGGGGGUAGAGCACUGUUUCGGCUAGGGGGCCAUCCCGGCUUACCAACCCGAUGCAAACUGCGAAUACCGGAGAAUGUUAUCACGGGAGACACACGGCGGGUGCUAACGUCCGUCGUGAAGAGGGAAACAACCCAGACCGCCAGCUAAGGUCCCAAAGUCAUGGUUAAGUGGGAAACGAUGUGGGAAGGCCCAGACAGCCAGGAUGUUGGCUUAGAAGCAGCCAUCAUUUAAAGAAAGCGUAAUAGCUCACUGGUCGAGUCGGCCUGCGCGGAAGAUGUAACGGGGCUAAACCAUGCACCGAAGCUGCGGCAGCGACACUGUGUGUUGUUGGGUAGGGGAGCGUUCUGUAAGCCUGUGAAGGUGCCUGUGAGGCAUGCUGGAGGUAUCAGAAGUGCGAAUGCUGACAUAAGUAACGAUAAAGCGGGUGAAAAGCCCGCUCGCCGGAAGACCAAGGGUUCCUGUCCAACGUUAAUCGGGGCAGGGUGAGUCGACCCCUAAGGCGAGGCCGAAAGGCGUAGUCGAUGGGAAACGGGUUAAUAUUCCCGUACUUGGUGUUACUGCGAAGGGGGGACGGAGAAGGCUAUGUUGGCCGGGCGACGGUUGUCCCGGUUUAAGCGUGUAGGUGUGUGUUCCAGGUAAAUCCGGUUCACUUUAACACUGAGGCGUGACGACGAGGCACUACGGUGCUGAAGCAACAAAUGCCCUGCUUCCAGGAAAAGCCUCUAAGCAUCAGGUAACAUCAAAUCGUACCCCAAACCGACACAGGUGGUCAGGUAGAGAAUACCAAGGCGCUUGAGAGAACUCGGGUGAAGGAACUAGGCAAAAUGGUGCCGUAACUUCGGGAGAAGGCACGCUGACACGUAGGUGAAGUGAUUUACUCAUGGAGCUGAAGUCAGUCGAAGAUACCAGCUGGCUGCAACUGUUUAUUAAAAACACAGCACUGUGCAAACACGAAAGUGGACGUAUACGGUGUGACGCCUGCCCGGUGCCGGAAGGUUAAUUGAUGGGGUCAGCGCAAGCGAAGCUCCUGAUCGAAGCCCCGGUAAACGGCGGCCGUAACUAUAACGGUCCUAAGGUAGCGAAAUUCCUUGUCGGGUAAGUUCCGACCUGCACGAAUGGCGUAAUGAUGGCCAGGCUGUCUCCACCCGAGACUCAGUGAAAUUGAACUCGCUGUGAAGAUGCAGUGUACCCGCGGCAAGACGGAAAGACCCCGUGAACCUUUACUAUAGCUUGACACUGAACAUUGAGCCUUGAUGUGUAGGAUAGGUGGGAGGCUUUGAAGUGUGGACGCCAGUCUGCAUGGAGCCGACCUUGAAAUACCACCCUUUAAUGUUUGAUGUUCUAACGUGGACCCGUUACCCGGGUUGCGGACAGUGUCUGGUGGGUAGUUUGACUGGGGCGGUCUCCUCCUAAAGAGUAACGGAGGAGCACGAAGGUUGGCUAAUCCUGGUCGGACAUCAGGAGGUUAGUGCAAUGGCAUAAGCCAGCUUGACUGCGAGCGUGACGGCGCGAGCAGGUGCGAAAGCAGGUCAUAGUGAUCCGGUGGUUCUGAAUGGAAGGGCCAUCGCUCAACGGAUAAAAGGUACUCCGGGGAUAACAGGCUGAUACCGCCCAAGAGUUCAUAUCGACGGCGGUGUUUGGCACCUCGAUGUCGGCUCAUCACAUCCUGGGGCUGAAGUAGGUCCCAAGGGUAUGGCUGUUCGCCAUUUAAAGUGGUACGCGAGCUGGGUUUAGAACGUCGUGAGACAGUUCGGUCCCUAUCUGCCGUGGGCGCUGGAGAACUGAGGGGGGCUGCUCCUAGUACGAGAGGACCGGAGUGGACGCAUCACUGGUGUUCGGGUUGUCAUGCCAAUGGCACUGCCCGGUAGCUAAAUGCGGAAGAGAUAAGUGCUGAAAGCAUCUAAGCACGAAACUUGCCCCGAGAUGAGUUCU
This 2233-nucleotide ribosomal RNA is filed under the name Salmonella enterica subsp. enterica serovar Enteritidis str. CVM_56-3991. RNAcentral describes it as "bacterial LSU rRNA". It matches the Rfam family "Bacterial large subunit ribosomal RNA", at positions 594 to 2812 of the family's 2925-position model. The record is from RNAcentral. Lineage: Bacteria; Pseudomonadati; Pseudomonadota; Gammaproteobacteria; Enterobacterales; Enterobacteriaceae.